This 25-nucleotide microRNA is filed under the name Melibe leonina. RNAcentral's name for it is "mle-miR-745b-5p". Its record names the gene mle-miR-745b-5p. Lineage: Eukaryota; Metazoa; Mollusca; Gastropoda; Nudibranchia; Dendronotidae. The record is from miRBase by way of RNAcentral.
CGCUCCUCCUUUGGACAGCUAUCCU